AAAGAAGUGUGUAGAAACAUCCGCUUCUACCGAAAGAAAAAAAAAGAGAAAAGAAAUGAAAAAGAGAAAUGAGGCAUAAGCACUUGCCUAAGUCAAAGAGUCAUGCAUCAACGUGAUACUAAAAAGAAAAAUUGAGUGAAAAAGAGUCAAGUUGGACAAAACCCCAUAAAAUAAUUUGUGCACAAAGAAAAGCAACAACAUGAAUGUCGAGUUUUAAACCUUUGUCAUCCAUUUUCUU
RNAcentral lists this long non-coding RNA (238 nucleotides) under Lathyrus oleraceus (garden pea). RNAcentral describes it as "Pisum sativum (pea) long non-coding RNA (PSAT_LNC037038)". The record is from RNAcentral. Lineage: Eukaryota; Viridiplantae; Streptophyta; Magnoliopsida; Fabales; Fabaceae.